AAGUUCCGCAGAUAGGUAUUGAAAAGAUCAACUUGGCGUUGAUCUCAUCCUCAAAUUCGUUAUGGAUUUUGCAUGAUCAAGAUCUGGUCAGAUCUGACUUUGUCGAAUUAAACCAGGAGCUUGGAAACUAAUUUUUGAAUUAAACCAACUGGGGGAUGUUUGGGUUAUACCAUGGUGAUAACCGAGAGAGGCAAUUGCUAAGUUGUGAUACUCUCAUACCUUUACUAGAUGCGAACAAUUCCGGAGAAGAAGAAGAAGUGGAAUCGGACGAGGAUUUUAUUUAUGUUGUUGGGAUUCUUAUAUUGAUGGAGUAGAAAAAGUACAGGGACAAAUAA
Molecule: long non-coding RNA, 335 nt
Organism: Lolium perenne
Lineage: Eukaryota; Viridiplantae; Streptophyta; Magnoliopsida; Poales; Poaceae
Source: RefSeq, a predicted model, not a curated record